RNAcentral lists this ribosomal RNA (120 nucleotides) under Echinops telfairi (small Madagascar hedgehog). Lineage: Eukaryota; Metazoa; Chordata; Mammalia; Afrosoricida; Tenrecidae. The record is from RNAcentral.
GCUAAAAACCGUAUUUCCCAGAAGGCCAUCUGACCUGGUCUGAUCCCAGAAGCUGAGCAUGGCUGGGCCGGGCUAGCGACUGGGUGGGAGACUGUGUGGGAAUGCCGGGUGCUGUCAGCU